Molecule: ribosomal RNA, 254 nt
Filed under: uncultured bacterium
Lineage: Bacteria
Description: partial 16S ribosomal RNA
Rfam family: Bacterial small subunit ribosomal RNA
Source: RNAcentral
UACGUAGGGGGCAAGCGUUGUCCGGAUUUAUUGGGCGUAAAGAGCUCGUAGGUGGUUCGGUAAGUCGGAUGUGAAAUCUCCAGGCUCAACCUGGAGGGGUCAUUCGAUACUGCCGUGACUAGAGGUCGGUAGGGGAGUGUGGAAUUCCUGGUGGAGCGGUGAAAUGCGCAGAUAUCAGGAGGAACACCCGUAGCGAAAGCGGCUCACUGGACCACAACUGACGCUGAGGCGCGAAAGCUAGGGGAGCGAACAGG